ACUUAAAGGAAUUGGCGGGGGAGCACUACAACGGGUGGAGCCUGCGGUUUAAUUGGAUUCAACGCCGGGAAGCUUACCGGGAUCGACAGCGGUAUGAAGGCCAGGCUGAAGACCUUGCCGGAUUAGCUGAGAGGUGGUGCAUGGCCGUCGUCAGUUCGUACUGUGAAGCAUCCUGUUAAGUCAGGCAACGAGCGAGACCCACGCCCACAGUUGCCAGCGUACUCUCUGGAGUGACGGGUACACUGUGGGGACCGCCGCUGCUAAAGCGGAGGAAGGAAUGGGCAACGGUAGGUCAGUAUGCCCCGAAUGUCCCGGGCUACACGCGGGCUACAAUGGUUGGUACAAUGGGUAUCUACCCCGAAAGGGGAUGGAAAUCUCCUAAAGCCAAUCUUAGUUCGG
This 399-nucleotide ribosomal RNA is filed under the name uncultured archaeon. RNAcentral's name for it is "bacterial SSU rRNA". It matches the Rfam family "Archaeal small subunit ribosomal RNA", at positions 854 to 1252 of the family's 1478-position model. The record is from RNAcentral.